This 547-nucleotide ribosomal RNA is filed under the name Heterixalus tricolor (three-color reed frog). RNAcentral's name for it is "partial 16S ribosomal RNA". It matches the Rfam family "Bacterial large subunit ribosomal RNA", at positions 656 to 1221 of the family's 2925-position model. The record is from RNAcentral. Lineage: Eukaryota; Metazoa; Chordata; Amphibia; Anura; Hyperoliidae.
AUUUAGCUAGUCACAGCAAGCAAAAUGCAAUUUUAGUUUGCACCCCCGAAACUAAGUGAGCUACUUUAAAACAGCCAAAUGGGCCAACUCGUCUCUGUUGCAAAAGAGUGAGAAGAUUUUUAAGUAGAAGUGACAAGCCUAUCGAACUUAGAGAUAGCUGGUUAUUUGGGAAAAGAAUAUUAGUUCUGCCUUAAGCUUUUAUUAACAUCCUUCAAAGCAACUUAAGAGUUAUUCAAAUAAGGUACAGCCUAUUUGAUACAGGAAACAACCUAAAACAUAGGGUAACGCUAACUACAAUUUUUAUAAUUAAGUUGGCCUAAAAGCAGCCAUCUUUUAAAAAGCGUCAAAGCUUAAUUAUUUAAUAACAACAAUCCCAACAAAAAUGCUAAACCCACCACUACUACCAAAUAACUUUAUAUAAUUAUAAAAGAUAUUAUGCUAAAACUAGUAAUAAGAAAAUGACUUUCUCCUAAAUAUAAGUGUAAUGCAGAAUAAACAAAUCACUGCUAAUUACUGUUUUUGAUUAUAUAGUAGCAACCUCUCUAGA